AAGCGAAUAACAAGAUGGAGAGGAAGGAUGUUGCCAAGUUCAUGGAUAUUACGGACCCUAGUCUAGACCGCAUGGAUACUGUCGUUCGUCGAGAGUGUAGACCCGAACCGGUCCGAGCAGGACAAUCAGCUCAUCGACGAGAUGCUGCAGUACAACAGUAAUCACCCGGAGGAUCCAGGAUCUGGAUCUCUUGGGGGAUCAGAUGGGGGACAGAGCCGUGGCUCCCAUGAAUCCCUUCACACAGACGCCCCCACACACGCUCGUACAGACACAGACACCGCCGCUGCUCCAGCCGCAACCGCAGCCGAUCACACAGAUGCAGAUGGUGAUGAUCAUGCCGGCCACCACACCGUCACACCACUUCAUCCAGAGUCAGAUGCAGUCCACUGCUCCAGUCCACACCGCACCGCAGC
This is a long non-coding RNA of Onychostoma macrolepis, 413 nucleotides long. RefSeq lists it as uncharacterized. Lineage: Eukaryota; Metazoa; Chordata; Actinopteri; Cypriniformes; Cyprinidae. The transcript is spliced from 3 exons. The record is from RefSeq and is a predicted model, not a curated record.